AAUGGUUUAGUUUCAGGAACAGGUUUUGUGCGCCGAUGUUCACGCUGGGAGAGCUACGUUCCUACGACCUUGCUGCCGAAAUACAAAGACAAGAAUGAAGCAAAGAUUGGAAUUGUAUCCGGGUUCUGCAGACGGAGACGGCAAAGAGGAGUGGAUGGAACAAAAGCUUCAACACCAGCACGGAUCCUGAACGAGAAGUCC
Molecule: non-coding RNA, 201 nt
Organism: Ciona intestinalis (vase tunicate)
Lineage: Eukaryota; Metazoa; Chordata; Ascidiacea; Phlebobranchia; Cionidae
Source: RefSeq, a predicted model, not a curated record